GGAUCAAAAAGCUCGAAAGCAACGUGCAACGUGAUUGCCACGCAUUGACUCGCUAACGAACAUCAAUGGCGUGAGCAGCAUCCCGGUGGCUCUGGUUCCUUCCAAUGGAGGAUCUAUACGGCUGACCAACCCCGAGUCUAUCCAGUAGUCUCUCCAUGCUGCUACCUCUGCAUACCAGACCAUUACAGAAGUGAGACAGUUUGGCCGCGGAGGUAUCGUGUGCAGAUCACCAGACCAGACCUGUGUCGCGGAUUUGCUUAAGUGUUCAUCAUUCGCGUCACUGCCGGACACACGCACACUGGAUAGGACAGGAGGGGUUGUGGACGGGACAU
This 332-nucleotide long non-coding RNA is filed under the name Dermacentor andersoni. RNAcentral describes it as "uncharacterized LOC126544627". The record is from RNAcentral. Lineage: Eukaryota; Metazoa; Arthropoda; Arachnida; Ixodida; Ixodidae.